UGGGGAAUUUUGGACAAUGGGCGCAAGCCUGAUCCAGCCAUGCCGCGUGCGGGAAGAAGGCCUUCGGGUUGUAAACCGCUUUUGUCAGGGAAGAAAUCUUCUGAGUUAAUACCUCGGGAGGAUGACGGUACCUGAAGAAUAAGCACCGGCUAACUACGUGCCAGCAGCCGCGGUAAUACGUAGGGUGCAAGCGUUAAUCGGAAUACUGGGCGUAAAGCGUGCGCAGGCGGUUUUGUAAGACAGAGGUGAAAUCCCCGGGCUCAACCUGGGAACUGCCUUUGUGACUGCAAGGCUUGAGUGCGGCAGAGGGGGGAUGGAAUUCCGCGUGUAGCAGUGAAAUGCGUAGAUAUGCGGAGGAAACACCGAUGGCGAAGGCAAUCCCCUGGGCCUGCACUGACGCUCAUGCACGAAAGCGUGGGGAGCAAACAGGAUUAGAUAGCCCUGGUAGUCCACGCCCUAAAACGAUGUCAACUGGUUGUUGGGAAGGUUCCUUCUCAGUAACGUAGCUAACGCGUGAAGUUGACCGCCUGGGGAGUACGGCCGCAAGGUUG
Molecule: ribosomal RNA, 551 nt
Filed under: uncultured bacterium
Lineage: Bacteria
Description: partial 16S ribosomal RNA
Rfam family: Bacterial small subunit ribosomal RNA
Source: RNAcentral